Molecule: small nucleolar RNA, 78 nt
Organism: Acomys russatus (golden spiny mouse)
Lineage: Eukaryota; Metazoa; Chordata; Mammalia; Rodentia; Muridae
Product: small nucleolar RNA SNORD112
Exons: 1
Source: RefSeq, a predicted model, not a curated record
UGGACCAGGGAUGGGAAAGUGGCUUUGAACAAAGCACCAUGAUUAAUCUGGUUUCUUUGUAAAACACAGAUGUCCAUU